This 262-nucleotide unclassified non-coding RNA is filed under the name Ascomycota sp. RNAcentral describes it as "partial contains small subunit ribosomal RNA, internal transcribed spacer 1, and 5.8S ribosomal RNA". The stretch from base 1 to 46 matches the Rfam family "Eukaryotic small subunit ribosomal RNA", at positions 1786 to 1831 of the family's 1831-position model. Lineage: Eukaryota; Fungi; Ascomycota. The record is from RNAcentral.
AAGUCGUAACAAGGUUUCCGUAGGUGAACCUGCGGAAGGAUCAUUAAAGAGAUAGGGUUCUCACGAGCCCGACCUCCAACCCUUUGUCUACCGAACCACUGUUGCCUCGGCGGGCCGCCGAUGCUCCUUUCAGGGGUGUCGCCGUCGGCUUUUGGGCUCUCGAGCGCCCGCCGCAGGACCAUUAAACCCUUUUUAAAACAGAUCUUCUGAGUGGAUAUUAAUGCUUCAAAUAAAACUUUCAACAACGGAUCUCUUGGUUCUG